AGAACGAACGCUGGCGGCAUGCCUAACACAUGCAAGUCGAACGAGACCGCUGACUUCGGUUGGCGCGUCUAGUGGCGCACGGGUGCGUAACGCGUGGGAAUCUGCCCUUGGGUUCGGGAUAACAGUUGGAAACGACUGCUAAUACCGGAUGAUGACUUCGGUCCAAAGAUUUAUCGCCCAGGGAUGAGCCCGCGUCGGAUUAGCUAGUUGGUGGGGUAAAAGCCUACCAAGGCAACGAUCCGUAGCUGGUCUGAGGGGAUGAUCAGCCACACUGGGACUGAGACACGGCCCAGACUCCUACGGGAGGCAGCAGUGGGGAAUAUUGGACAAUGGGCGAAAGCCUGAUCCAGCAAUGCCGCGUGAGUGAUGAAGGCCUUAGGGUUGUAAAGCUCUUUUACCGGAUGAUAAUGACAGUACCGGAGAAUAAGCCCCGCUAACCUCCGUGCCCAGCAGCCGC
This 457-nucleotide ribosomal RNA is filed under the name uncultured soil bacterium. RNAcentral's name for it is "bacterial SSU rRNA". It matches the Rfam family "Bacterial small subunit ribosomal RNA", at positions 26 to 518 of the family's 1533-position model. The record is from RNAcentral.